CUUUGCCUUGCUACUUUCCACCAUGAGUGCUUCAGAUUAGAGACGGGUACAAAGUGCUGGGUUGGUGAUGUGUUCAUUCUUCAGAUCCACAGCUGUUCCACAGAUGCACCAACUUCCCUGCCCAACCUCCUCCAGUGUGUGUCCACUCAGAAGCAGUGUCCUGAACCUCCCUGCCCCACCACUUCCUCUGUGAAUGCCCACCAGAGGAGGUGGGGGGUGGGAAGCUGUGGCGCCUGUGGAACACUGGUGUGUCAGAUGGUCAGAACAUCUGCAGAAUGCCAGACAUCAGACCCUAUGUGGAACAUCUGCAGAAUGCCAGAUGUCAGACCCUAUGUGGAACAUCUGCAUGUCAGAUGGUCGGAACAUCUGCAGAAUGCCAGAUGUCAGACCCUAUGUGGAACAUCUGCAUGUCAGAUGGUCGGAACAUCUGCAGAAUGCCAGAUGUCAGACCCUAUGUGGAACAUCUGCAUGUCAGAUGGUCGGAACAUCUGCAGAAUGCCAGAUGUCAGACCCUAUGUGGAACAUCUGCAUGUCAGAUGGUCGGAACAUCUGCAGAAUGCCAGAUGUCAGACCCUAUGUGGAACAUCUGCAUGUCAGAUGGUCGGAACAUCUGCAGAAUGCCAGAUGUCAGACCCUAUGUGGAACAUCUGCAUGUCAGAUGGUCGGAACAUCUGCAGAAUGCCAGAUGUCAGACCCUAUGUGGAACAUCUGCAUGUCAGAUGGUCAGAACAUCUGGAGAAUGCCAGAUUUCAGACCCUAUGUGGAACAUCUGUGUGCCAGAUGUUCAGAACAUCUGCAGAAUGCCAGCUGUCAGACCCUAUGCAGAACAUCUGCAUGUCGGAUGGUCAGAACAUCUGCAUGUCACUGGGCCAAACCAGUGGUUCAUGCCCAUCAGAUUUCUUGGGGGUUGGGGGAGAGGAGAUGGCAGAAGGGUUGCACUGACGUAUUUGCUCAGCAACUAUUCCCAAAAUUCUUUACUAAAAAUAUUUCCCAGUAUUCACUUCAUGUAAGAACUUACUCUAUCAGUGAGGCAUGUUGGAGGUGAUUCCCGUAACUAUUACUUACUGCCAUAUAAAAUUAGAUAAUAAUACUGGGAACCAAGACUGGAUAUGUUUUGUACCUCACCACAGUAAUAUACUUA
RNAcentral lists this long non-coding RNA (1141 nucleotides) under Pogona vitticeps (central bearded dragon). RNAcentral describes it as "lncRNA (ENSPVIG00000017546.1)". Lineage: Eukaryota; Metazoa; Chordata; Lepidosauria; Squamata; Agamidae. The record is from RNAcentral.